UUAAGCAUAUCAAUAAGCGGAGGAAAAGAAACUAACAAGUAUUCCCUCAGUAACGGCGAGCGAAGUGGGAAGAGCUCGAGCCUGAAAUCUCUGGCAGGUACUGUCAGCGAGUUGUGGCCGGGAGAGGCAGCUCAAGCUCCGACCGGCGCUGUCGAAGUUGACCUGGAAAGGCACGUCGCAGAGGGUGAGAGCCCCGUGUGCGGCACUGCCGGGCGGAGCUGCUACUGUCUUCGGAGAGUCGGGUUGUUUGGGAAUGCAGCCCAAAGCGGGUGGUAAACUCCAUCUAAAGCUAAAUACUGGCACGAGACCGAUAGCAAACAAGUACCAUGAGGGAAAGGUGAAAAGCACUUUGAAAAGAGAGUCAAAAAGACCGCGAAACCGUUAGGAGGGAAACGAAUGCGGCUGAAUCGGCUCUGCUUCAGGCUCGGGAGACGUUGGCGGUCGGGUCGGGUCCGGUACAGCUUCGGCGGCCGGGCCCGGCCGCGGUCCGCCAUCUCCUCUGCAUUCCUAUGGAGAGCCGGCCAACGACGGUUGCCCCUGGCUCGGAAGGGCGGUGGGGAAGGUGGCUCCCCUUCCGGGGAGAACUUACAGCCGACCGCCUGGUAGACCGGGAGCGACCGAGGAGAGCUGCGGAUCUUCGCACGUGCAGUGCAAGCCUCCCCCCCCCCGGGGGAGGGGGCCGCGCCGCCUCUGUUCGUCCGGGCAUCGCGCUGUGGACUGCUUGCAGUGUUCAGCGACGACUCUGUCUGCUCGUGCGGGGGGCCGGUGACGUUUUGCGCUGCGGUCGUUGGUGCUCGAAUGGCUGCAUCCGACCCGUCUU
This 820-nucleotide ribosomal RNA is filed under the name Polymastia corticata. RNAcentral describes it as "eukaryotic LSU rRNA". It matches the Rfam family "Eukaryotic large subunit ribosomal RNA", at positions 34 to 655 of the family's 3401-position model. Lineage: Eukaryota; Metazoa; Porifera; Demospongiae; Polymastiida; Polymastiidae. The record is from RNAcentral.